RNAcentral lists this ribosomal RNA (387 nucleotides) under uncultured bacterium. RNAcentral's name for it is "bacterial SSU rRNA". It matches the Rfam family "Bacterial small subunit ribosomal RNA", at positions 30 to 419 of the family's 1533-position model. The record is from RNAcentral.
AUUGAACGCUGGCGGAAUGCUUUACACAUGCAAGUCGAACGGCAGCACGGGGCAACCUGGUGGCGAGUGGCGAACGGGUGAGUAAUACAUCGGAACGUGCCCAAUCGUGGGGGAUAACGUAGCGAAAGUUACGCUAAUACCGCAUACGAUCUACGGAUGAAAGCGGGGGAUCGCAAGACCUCGCGCGAAUGGAGCGGCCGAUGUCAGAUUAGGUAGUUGGUGGGGUAAAGGCUCACCAAGCCAACGAUCUGUAGCUGGUCUGAGAGGACGACCAGCCACACUGGAACUGAGACACGGUCCAGACUCCUACGGGAGGCAGCAGUGGGGAAUUUUGGACAAUGGGCGCAAGCCUGAUCCAGCCAUUCCGCGUGCAGGAUGAAGGCCUUC